This 122-nucleotide ribosomal RNA is filed under the name Camelus bactrianus (Bactrian camel). RNAcentral also lists the same sequence under 2 other names. The record is from RNAcentral. Lineage: Eukaryota; Metazoa; Chordata; Mammalia; Artiodactyla; Camelidae.
UACAGUGGCUGUACCACCCUGAACGCACCCAAUCUCGUCUGAUCUCGGAAGUUAAGCAGGGCUAGGCCUGGUUAGUACUUAGAUGGGGGCUGAGAGUCUUAAAGAUGAGGUUGUCUUUCUUU